UACGAAGGGGGCUAGCGUUGCUCGGAAUCACUGGGCGUAAAGGGUGCGUAGGUGGCGGGGUAAGUCAGGUGUGAAAUUUCGGAGCUUAACUCCGAAACUGCAUUUGAUACUGCCUUGCUUGAGGACUGGAGAGGAGACUGGAAUUUACGGUGUAGCAGUGAAAUGCGUAGAUAUCGUAAGGAAGACCAGUGGCGAAGGCGGGUCUCUGGACAGUUCCUGACACUGAGGCACGAAGGCUAGGGGAGCAAACGGG
RNAcentral lists this ribosomal RNA (253 nucleotides) under uncultured bacterium. RNAcentral's name for it is "partial 16S ribosomal RNA". It matches the Rfam family "Bacterial small subunit ribosomal RNA", at positions 524 to 776 of the family's 1533-position model. The record is from RNAcentral.